GGGAACGCAUUACAGCCGGUGGGGCUGGGAUUUUAAGUUAGCUUGACUGCCUAGCAGGCAGGGAACGCAUUACAGCCGGUGGGGCUGGGAUUUUAAGUUAGCUUGACUGCCUAGCGGGCAGGGAACGCAUUACAGCCGGUGGGGCUGGGAUUUUGUUUGUUUAUUACUGUGCUCCCAUUAGUACCUGUGUUAUACUGGGACCAGCCUGGUGGGUGAAGGCUGAGGAUUGCUAUACUUCGAUUAUUUGGCACCGGUGUCAUUAACAUGUACAUGGCCAUUUUACUCUCUGUCAUUCUGUGGUUUUUUGUUUAAUUGUUGUUACAGUGUGGGUACCCUUGGUGUGUGUGUGUGUGUGUAUAGUGUGGCUAGUUC
Pelobates cultripes (western spadefoot toad) is the source of this 372-nucleotide non-coding RNA. The record is from the annotation of a GenBank genome assembly. Lineage: Eukaryota; Metazoa; Chordata; Amphibia; Anura; Pelobatidae.